UAGUGGCGAACGGGUGAGUAACGCGUGGGUGACCUACCCCAAAGUGUGGAAUAACAGUCCGAAAGGAUUGCUAAUGCCGCAUGUGGUCUGCGAGUUUAGAAAUCGUUGACUAAAGGAGCAAUCCGCUUUGGGAGGGACCUGCGUCCCAUCAGCUAGUUGGCGAGGUAACGGCUCACCAAGGCGACGACGGGUAGGGGACCUGAGAGGGUGGCCCCCCACAAUGGAACUGAAACACGGUCCAUACACCUACGGGUGGCAGCAGUAGGGAAUAUUGCACAAUGGGCGAAAGCCUGAUGCAUUAUCUUUGCGUGCGCGAUGAAGGUCUUCGGAUCGUAAAGCGCUUUUCUGGGAGAUGAGAAAGGACAGUAUCCCAGGAAUAAGUCUCGGCUAACUACGUGCCAGCAGCCGCGGUAA
This 414-nucleotide ribosomal RNA is filed under the name uncultured Chloroflexota bacterium. RNAcentral's name for it is "bacterial SSU rRNA". It matches the Rfam family "Bacterial small subunit ribosomal RNA", at positions 93 to 523 of the family's 1533-position model. The record is from RNAcentral. Lineage: Bacteria; Bacillati; Chloroflexota.